RNAcentral lists this ribosomal RNA (301 nucleotides) under uncultured bacterium. RNAcentral's name for it is "partial 16S ribosomal RNA". It matches the Rfam family "Bacterial small subunit ribosomal RNA", at positions 509 to 807 of the family's 1533-position model. The record is from RNAcentral.
CAGCAGCCGCGGGAAUACGGAGGGUGCGAGCGUUAAUCGGAAUUACUGGGCGUAAAGCGUGCGCAGGCGGUUUUGUAAGACAGGUGUGAAAUCCCCGGGCUUAACCUGGGAACUGCGCUUGUGACUGCACAGCUAGAGUAUGGCAGAGGGUGGUGGAAUUCCACGUGUAGCAGUGAAAUGCGUAGAGAUGUGGAGGAACACCGAUGGCGAAGGCAGCCCUCUGGGCCAAUACUGACGCUCAUGCACGAAAGCGUGGGGAGCAAACAGGAUUAGAUACCCGCGUAGUCCCUGUCUCUUAUAC